Molecule: ribosomal RNA, 249 nt
Filed under: uncultured bacterium
Lineage: Bacteria
Description: partial 16S ribosomal RNA
Rfam family: Bacterial small subunit ribosomal RNA
Source: RNAcentral
CGUAGGCGCAAGCGUUGUCCGGAAUUAUUGGGCGUAAGAGCUCGUAGGUGGUUGUCGCGUCUGUCGUGAAAGCCCACGGCUUAACCGUGGGUCUGCGGUGGAUACGGGCAGACUAGAGGCAGGUAGGGAGAACGGAAUUCCCGGUGUAGCGGUGAAUGCGCAGAUAUCGGGAGGAACACCGGUGGCGAAGGCGGUUCUCUGGGCCUGUACUGACGCUGAGGAGCGAAAGCGUGGGGAGCGAACAGGAUU